Cyprinodon tularosa is the source of this 525-nucleotide long non-coding RNA. RefSeq lists it as uncharacterized. The transcript is spliced from 3 exons. Lineage: Eukaryota; Metazoa; Chordata; Actinopteri; Cyprinodontiformes; Cyprinodontidae. The record is from RefSeq and is a predicted model, not a curated record.
AUUUGCUGCUAAAAUAGUUUUGAUUGAUUUAUUUUUUGGAUCUCUUGGUUUUCUUUUUCGUAAUGUUUUAGCUUUGGUUCAUGUUCACUGUUUUCAGAAGAGCUUUUAACAGCAGGCAGCUGCUGAAAGUGAUGCUAGACUAACCCCCAAAACAACCCGCCGACAUCUGGUGACCUACAAGGCUGAACGGACUAAAACACACCCAAAUGACAGGAUUUUAUUCUAUCAGGACCGUGCAAGCUGCCGUCGGGAGAUGCAGAAUCUUGCUUGAAACUCAUCAAAUAAAAGAGACAUUUGAAAGCAUUUUUUAUAAAGAUACAUACAAGCCGGUUCCUGCAGACCGGAAGCAGAAUGGAUCGCCACACUAACUGUCCCACAUAACGAAUUUUCAUCUUCUGCUGGAAAUGUUUCUUUGAUAGAAGGAAGAAAAAGGCUUAUGGUGGGAGGAGGUGAGUGUACCUGCAAUAGAGCUGUGAAGAUGGGGCUGCUGGGUCAUUCUCAGUUUCACACACGCACUGGUGAGAG